Rosa chinensis is the source of this 1588-nucleotide long non-coding RNA. RefSeq lists it as uncharacterized. The transcript has 3 exons. NCBI's taxonomy places the organism in Eukaryota, Viridiplantae, Streptophyta, Magnoliopsida, Rosales, Rosaceae. The record is from RefSeq and is a predicted model, not a curated record.
CUGAUUUUGGUGGAAGUUGCUUCUCCCAACCGCUGUUUCUGAGAAGCAGCAAUUCCUAGCUUUUAGGAAUUGCUUCUGCGGAACCACUCCGAAAAAACACGGAGCUUUUAAUGAAAUAUAUUCAACUACCAAUUUUGUCCUCGUCCUUUCUGAAAAUUACGUUGAACCCAGCAACUCUAUCUUUUCUCUUGAUCGCAGAUUCGCAGAUGCAUCGUUCUUCUGCUCCUCUCUUUGUUGUCAAUCCCUAAUCCUCAUCGGAACAAAUGGGGAGGGAGGGCCUCUGCUUCUCCUCCUCUCUCUGAGAAGUAUCAUCGUUCUCAUCAGAAACACGACGAGAGGAGCUCUAUUUGUGAUUGUCUUCUCCUUCUUCCCUCUCUACAGUCAUUGAACUGUUCAAGCAUCAAUCAUCCUCAUCAAAAACUCGGUAUAGCAGCGUCGUCCCCCAAUUUUAAAAGUUGAUUUCUUCAUCUUUCAUAUGGGCCAAUGAAGGACCACUCUUUUAUUGCAAGAAUUGUUUAUGGCAUGUACUGUCCAUGAGAAUUACAUGAGAAAGAAGGGGGGACUCUGGGGUGGAGAAAAGUACCUAACACGGAAGCUUCCCUGAAUUGCAUAUUGCAGAACGUUAUUUGUGACUUAUUUGUGCAUAACGUUAUGGAUCGAAAUUAACAUCUGAGGAGCUCCUGGAGUUUGAUGCGCUGACAGAUGACUAUGAAGUCAGCUGGCAUGUGAAGCAUCUUAGAAGUUUAUUGAGUCCGACAUCGGAUGAAUUGAAAUCCAGGGCAGUUCAAGUGAUGAACCGGAGGCGAGCCUACCUGAAUAAGUUGAUAUUUGAUGGGCAGAGGAUUCAAUGAGGGAGGGAGAGCCCUACUUGCAUCAUGAGUAUGUGGGGAAGUUUCAGGUUUCGAGUUGUAGGAGCACGGCAAGACCUGGGGAGCGGUGGUAAGAUACUUUGUUGCGGAGGUCAGAGGAAGCGAUUUUGGUAGCAAAGAUUAGAGGGGAGCAACAGAGGUUGGGUGUUGCUGAGAGUGAUUGGGUUGGCGAUGAGAGAAUUCAAGAAGUAGAGGAACAGGAGGAGGAGGAGGAGGAAGAAUCUAACAACGCUAAUGGGGGCACACAAUCAUCAGAGAUGCUGGUGGAUCCUCCUUAUGUGGCCAGUGGUGCUGAAACUGUAGACCAUACGGAUGCGCCUAAUGAUGCUUAAGCAACCACAGCAGGGUAGAGUGAGCAGGCAACUGUAUCUGCAGAAGAGUUGCAAGAUCUGAUGGACCAGUUCACCUACAUCAUGCAUGAGAAAUUUUUGUUAGGAGAAGAUCACGAGUACUUAGAUUACUCAAAGAUAGACAAUGACGAGACAUUGGAUGAUCACUGGCAGAGAGAAGCCAACCAUGACGCUGAAGAGAAGUACUUUAAUGAGGAUUAACAAAAGUUGAAGGGCGUUUAUGUUUUUCUCUGCACUCUAAGCCUUUUAACUCUGAUGUUAAUAUUUUUUGCUCUAGAGAGUAUUCAUAACCUAGUGUUCCAGUUGUAACUAUACCAGUAUACCCUACUUUCUCUGUACAUUAUAUAUAUGUAACCGCAUGUUUGUUUU